GACGAACGCUGGCGGCGUGCCUAAUACAUGCGAGUAGAACGCUGAAGGAGGAGCUUGCUUCUCCGGAUGAGUUGCGAACGGGUGAGUAACGCGUAGGUAACCUGCCUGGUAGCGGGGGAUAACUAUUGGAAACGAUAGCUAAUACCGCAUAACAGUAGAUGUUGCAUGACAUUUGCUUAAAAGGUGCAAUUGCAUCACUACCAGAUGGACCUGCGUUGUAUUAGCUAGUUGGUGAGGUAACGGCUCACCAAGGCGACGAUACAUAGCCGACCUGAGAGGGUGAUCGGCCACACGGGGACUGAGACACGGCCCAGACUCCUACGAGAGGCAGCAGUAGGGAAUCUUCGGCAAUGGACGGAAGUCUGACCGGGCAACGCCGCGUGAGUGAAGAAGGUUUUCGGAUCGUAAAGCUCUGUUGUAAGAGAAGAACGAGUGUGAGAGUGGAAAGUUCACACUGUGACGGUAUCUUACCAGAAAGGGACGGCUAACUACGUG
Molecule: ribosomal RNA, 495 nt
Filed under: uncultured bacterium
Lineage: Bacteria
Description: partial 16S ribosomal RNA
Rfam family: Bacterial small subunit ribosomal RNA
Source: RNAcentral